Molecule: ribosomal RNA, 115 nt
Filed under: Bacillus velezensis NAU-B3
Lineage: Bacteria; Bacillati; Bacillota; Bacilli; Caryophanales; Bacillaceae
Source: RNAcentral
UGGUGGCGAUAGCGAAGAGGUCACACCCGUUCCCAUGCCGAACACGGAAGUUAAGCUCUUCAGCGCCGAUGGUAGUCGGGGGUUUCCCCUGUGAGAGUAGGACGCCGACCAAGUC